Molecule: long non-coding RNA, 1930 nt
Organism: Papio anubis (olive baboon)
Lineage: Eukaryota; Metazoa; Chordata; Mammalia; Primates; Cercopithecidae
Source: Ensembl
GCUGAGUUAUUGUUCGCCCCAUGGAUCAUGUAAAGGACUUUGAAACUGACUUUGGUGGUAAAACUCGCCCACAAAUGUUGCAUACAAAAGACUUCUCUCCAGUGUGAGUCCACCCGUCAAUCUGAAGAGUGCCAGCGGAGGAGAAGUUCUUUCCACACCACAUGCAGCCAUGUUGCUUGCGCUGUCGGUGUGGCUGGGCCUGUGGGCGUGGCUGGGCUGCUAACAAAGCAGUCAUCCUGGGGACAAUGUUAAGGGUCCCACAAACAUGCCAGGAACUUCAACUUUGACACAGGUUGGCUGGGCUCAGAUAAACAUGGAAGGGAGACUGCUCUGACACUUGUGCUUGUAAAGGACCACCUGGUCUUUGGGUUUGACGUUGACUGUGGAGAUACUCGGUGGCUUCCCCUUCCCUUUCUUGGAUGAGUCUAGCGCCACAGUGGAGAAGGGACUCUGGAAGAGCACCGAGCCCGGCGUCUGAGGAAGCAAAGCACUUGGGAGAGGAGACAUGAUGUUUGGGAACAACCUGGUUCCAUCUGGCUUCAGCGCAAAGGGCAUCAGCCCUGGGGACAGAGAGCUGGUGGUAGAAGGGAUGUUGGCAGAAGGGAUGUUGGCAUGAAGUAGUUUGGCUUGUUUCAACGCAUCCGGAGACAGACCUUGGCUUCCAGCUUUCUGGCUGAGCAAAGUCACAGCCAUAGAAACCUGCUGGGAUAUGCGGCUGCCCAGGGUCGUCUCCCACCGCCAAAGUGGAGAGCAUGGGAGGUCCACAUGUGCACCUGAAUGCGAUCUGCUGGGAUAAUGUGCUAAUUGAAAUUUCACAAUCAGGAGGGUGGAGCAACAUGGCAGAAUGGAAGCCUUCACCAUUUGUCCUCCCUGCUGGAACACCAGGCUUUAACAACUAUCUCCACAGAGAAAAGCACCAUCAUAGGAAACAAAAAUCAGGUAAGCAAUCACAGUACCUGGAUUUAACUUUGUAUCGCCAAAAGAGGCAUUGAGGAAGGCAGGAGAGAGUCUUGAAUCACCAGGAGAGUGCAUUCACUGGGGGACAUUACACUGACCUCUGUACUGCCCUGCCAUAGAGGAGAAUAAAGCCAUGCUGGGCUCAGGAAGUGCCUGUGAAUGGACCAGACUGAGCCAGAGGGGAAUAGCCCAUCCCAGCGGUCAGAACUUGAGUUUCUCAGCAAGCCUCACUACUGUGGGCUGAAGUGCUCUGGAGUCGUAGGUGAACUUGAAAGACAGUCUAGGACACAAGGACUGCAAUCCUUAGGCAACUCCUAGCGCUAGGCUGGACUUAGAGCCUAUAAACUAGGGUGAGUAGUGACCUAGGGAGACACCAGCUGAUGUGGCUAAAGGAAUAUUUGUGCCAUCCCUCCUUCCAUCCCAGGCAGUGCAGCUUGCAGCAAUGAAAGUGAUUCUUUCCUUCUGUUGAAAGAGAGGGGAGCAAAGAGUGAAGAGGACUUUGUCUUGCACCUUGGGUACCAGCUUAGCCACAGUAGGAUAGGUAAUUGGUUAGAGAUGUAAGGCCUCCAUUCAAGCCCUGGCACCUGGACAUUUCUAGACACACUCUGGACCUAAACAGAACCUGCUACCUCGAAGGGAAGGAUCCACUCUUGGCAGGAUUUAUCACCUGUUGAUUAAAGAGCCCGUGGGGCCUGAGUAACUACCAGUGAUACCCAGGGAGUAUGCCAUGGACCUUGGGCUCUGACAUGUGUUGGCUUUGGGGUGAUCCAGCACAUUCCCAGCUAUAAUGGCUACAGGGAAAGACUACAUCUGUUUGAGAAAAGCAGAGGGAAAAGUAAAGGGGACUUUGUGUUCCACUUUAAGUGCCAGCUCAACCACAGUGGGACAGAGCUCUUAGAGGUCCCAAGUUCAGGCCCCUAGGCCUACUCUUAGACAGCAUUACUGGACCUGCUCUGGGCUAGAGAGAAGCCCA